GAGCACGUAGGUGGGUUUGUAAGUCGGGUGUGAAAGCCCCUGGCUCAACCAGGGAACUGCAUUUGAUACUGUGAGGCUUGAAGACAGGAGGGGAGAGUGGAACUUCUGGUGGAGCGGUGAAAUGCGUAGAUAUCAGAAGGAACGCCGGCGGCGAAAGCGAUUCUCUGGCCUAUAACUGACACUGAGUGUGCGAAAGCUAGGGGAGCAAACGGGAUUAGAUACCCCGGUAGUCCUAGCCGUAAACGAUGGGCACUAAGUAGAGGGGUUU
This 268-nucleotide ribosomal RNA is filed under the name uncultured bacterium. Its description in RNAcentral is "partial large subunit ribosomal RNA". It matches the Rfam family "Bacterial small subunit ribosomal RNA", at positions 565 to 831 of the family's 1533-position model. The record is from RNAcentral.